Molecule: small nuclear RNA, 104 nt
Organism: Cebus imitator (Panamanian white-faced capuchin)
Lineage: Eukaryota; Metazoa; Chordata; Mammalia; Primates; Cebidae
Source: Ensembl
GUGCUCACUUCAGCAGCAUAUAUAUUAAAAUUGGCAUAACAUGGAGAAGAGCAUGCUCCCUGUCAAAGGAUGACACACAAAUUCAUAAAGCAUUCCAUAUUUUA